AGUGAACGCUGGCGGUAGGCCUAACACAUGCAAGUCGAACGGCAGCACAGUAAGGGCUUGCUCUUACGGGUGGAGAGUGGCGGAAGGGUGGGGCAAACAUCGGAAUCUACUUUUUCGUGGGGGCUAACGUAGGGAAAAUUACGCUAAUACCGCAUACGACCUACGGGUGAAAGCAGGGGAUCUUCGGACUUUGCGCGAUUGAAUGAGCCGAUGUCGGAUUAGCUAGUUGGCGGGGUAAAGGCCCACCAAGGCGACGAUCCGUAGCUGGUCUGAGAGGAUGAGCCGCCACACUGGAACGGAGACACGGUACAGACUCCUACGGGAGGCAGCAGUGGGGAAUAUUGGACAAGGGGCGGAAGCCUAGUCCAACCAAACCACGUGGGUGAAGAAGGCCUUCCGGUUGGGAAGCCCUUUUGUUGGGAAAGAAAAGCAGCACGUGAAAACCCCGCUGUUCUGACGGUACCCAAAGAAUAGGCACCGGCUAACUUCGUG
Molecule: ribosomal RNA, 492 nt
Filed under: uncultured bacterium
Lineage: Bacteria
Description: partial 16S ribosomal RNA
Rfam family: Bacterial small subunit ribosomal RNA
Source: RNAcentral